GUCGGGAAUAUUGCGCAAUGGAGGAAACUCUGACGCAGUGACACCGCGUGCAGGAAGAAGGUUUUCGGAUUGUAAACUGCUUUAGACAGGGAAGAAAGAAAUGACGGUACCUGUAGAAUAAGCUCCGGCUAACUACGUGCCAGCAGCCGCGGUAAUACGUAGGGAGCAAGCGUUAUCCGGAUUUAUUGGGUGUAAAGGGUGCGUAGACGGGUGAACAAGUUAGUAGUGAAAUACCUCGGCUUAACUGAGGAACUGCUACUAAAACUAUACAUCUUGAGUACUGGAGGGGAAAGCGGAAUUCCUAGUGUAGCGGUGAAAUGCGUAGAUAUUAGGAAGAACACCGGUGGCGAAGGCGGCUUUCUGGACAGAAACUGACGUUGAGGCACGAAAGUGUGGGGAGCAAACAGGA
RNAcentral lists this ribosomal RNA (409 nucleotides) under uncultured bacterium. Its description in RNAcentral is "bacterial SSU rRNA". It matches the Rfam family "Bacterial small subunit ribosomal RNA", at positions 354 to 777 of the family's 1533-position model. The record is from RNAcentral.